Molecule: long non-coding RNA, 260 nt
Organism: Biomphalaria glabrata
Lineage: Eukaryota; Metazoa; Mollusca; Gastropoda; Planorbidae
Exons: 3
Source: RefSeq, a predicted model, not a curated record
CAUUUGAUGCCUACGGCUGGCGGGUUCAAGUGUUUACCGUGAUACCAGAUCCUUUGAAACAUGUUGAGGACAUGAGAAAUCUACCACUGCGUGAUGAUGAUGUGGUCAUAGCAGGCUACCCAAAGUCAGAUCAUCCACGUCAUCAGAAAUCCCAAAGAUGUCUGGGUCUCCUUUUAUUACCAAAACAAAGGCCUCGAUCCAAACCUCACUCUUCAAAGCGUACUGGACGCAGUCGUAAAUGACCAACUGGUGUAUACCUC